Molecule: ribosomal RNA, 469 nt
Filed under: uncultured Alphaproteobacteria bacterium
Lineage: Bacteria; Pseudomonadati; Pseudomonadota; Alphaproteobacteria
Description: bacterial SSU rRNA
Rfam family: Bacterial small subunit ribosomal RNA
Source: RNAcentral
GUUUGAUCCUGGCUCAGAACGAACGCUGGCGGCACGCCUAACACAUGCAAGUCGAGCGCACCUUCGGGUGAGCGGCGGACGGGUUAGUAACGCGUGGGAACAUACCCUUCUCUAAGGAAUAGCCACUGGAAACGGUGAGUAAUACCUUAUACGCCCUUCGGGGGAAAGAUUUAUCGGAGAUGGAUUGGCCCGCGUUAGAUUAGAUAGUUGGUGGGGUAAUGGCCUACCAAGUCUACGAUCUAUAGCUGGUUUUAGAGGAUGAUCAGCAACACUGGGACUGAGACACGGCCCAGACUCCUACGGGAGGCAGCAGUGGGGAAUCUUAGACAAUGGGCGCAAGCCUGAUCUAGCGAUGCCGCGUGUGUGAUGAAGGUCUUAGGAUCGUAAAGCACUUUCACCAGGGAUGAUAAUGACAGUACCUGGAAAAGAAACCCCGGCUAACUCCGUGCCAGCAGCCGCGGUAAUAAGG